GUAUCUUAUCGCUUGUUUUUAGACGUUUGAUUCUACUCCUGUGAUACGCAUUUCUUUCACGUUGUAUUUGACAGCACAGCGAUAUGUAUAUCUUAUUAUAUUCAUGGUGAACGUUUUCUUUCAAACACAAUCAUUCCCUGUGUGCAAGACUGUUACUGCAGACUGUAACUACAUACUGUCUGCAAGACUGUUCCCUCCCCAUCAGAACAGCACUGCACACUGUCAAUUCACCAUCAGCAAAGCAAUAUCAUCACUCCCACGCCUUGAAAACACUUAAUAUGUAAAUGUGUGAAAUAAACAACUGGUAUAAUUGUCUGAUCAAAACUAAAGGAACUGAUGACUUGAUAAAAGUCAAGUAGAGAACAAAGAUGUUUGCGUCUGUUUAAAAAAAAAACACACGUCAAGGAUGAACAGCUAAUUUAGUAGAGGAAUCACAUGUUUUAUUGGACAUGAUGAUGAUGAUGAUGCUAUUUUAGACUGUCUGAGUCAUUCACUCCAGAGGUAGAUCUUUGUUGUGAUGAGAUGUUCAACUCUCUGCUGUAUGGAUCAUUCACUCCAGAGGUAGAUCUUUGUUGUGAUGAGAUGUUCAACUCUCUGCUGUAUGGAUCGUUCACUGCAGAGGUAGAUCUUUGUUGUGAUGAGAUGUUCAACUCUCUGCUGUAAGGAUCGUUCACUCCAGAGGUAGAUCUUUGUUGUGAUGAGAUGUUCAACUCUCUGCUGUAUGGAUCGUUCACUCCAGAGGUAGAUCUUUGUUGUGAUGAGAUGUUCAACUCUCUGCUGUAUGGAUCGUUCACUCCAGAGGUAGAUCUUUGUUGUGAUGAGAUGUUCAACUCUCUGCUGUAUGGAUCGUUCACUCCAGAGGUAGAUCUUUGUUGUGAUGAGAUGUUCAACUCUCUGCUGUAUGGAUCGUUCACUGCAGAGGUAGAUCUUUGUUGUGAUGAGAUGUUCAACUCUCUGCUGUAUGGAUCGUUCACUGCAGAGGUAGAUCUUUGUUGUGAUGAGAUGUUCAACUCUCUGCUGUAUGGAUCGUUCACUCCAGACGUAGAUCUUUGUUGUGAUGAGAUAUUCAACUCUCUGCUGUAUGGAUCGUUCCCUGCAGACGUAGAUCUUUGUUGUGAUGAGAUGUUCAACUCUCUGCUGUAUGGAUCGUUCCCUGCAGACGUAGAUCUUUGUUGUGAUGAGAUGUUCAACUCUCUGCUGUAAAGGGCCUCAGCUCCUACUGGUGUUUAUAAGGCUCCUGUCACGGACGACCGCUUCACCUUCUAUUUACUUGAUGUGGAUGUUACUGGUUGUUUUACUGUGUUAUGUUACAUGUAGUGUUUUAACACCACUCUGAACCACACACUGAGUCGCCUGGUUUCUGCUCUUAACAACGGUCAUUGUUGUCAUUGUCAAGCUAAACGUAAAGUAAAAAAGCACAAACAGACUGUGGACUCAGGCUAGAAUCUGAGGGCCCGCUACAGAGCAGUCUGUAUCUGUAAGGGUUGAAUCCUAGAAUCUGAGGGCCCGCUACAGAGCAGUCUGUAUCUGUAAGGGUUGAAUCCUAGAAUCUGAGGGCCCGCUACAGAGCAGUCUGUAUCUGUAAGGGUUGAAUCCUAGAAUCUGAGGGCCUGCUACAGAGCAGUCUGGAUCUGUAAGGGUUGAAUCCUAGAAUCUGAGGGCCCGCUACAGAGCAGUCUGUAUCUGUAAGGCUUGAAUCCUAGAAUCUGAGGGCCCGCUACAGAGCAGUCUGUAUCUGUAAGGGUUGAAUCCUAGAAUCUGAGGGCCUGCUACAGAGCAGUCUGUAUCUGUAAGGGUUGAAUCCUAGAAUCUGAGGGCCCGCUACAGAGCAGUCUGUAUCUGUAAGGGUUGAAUCCUAGAAUCUGAGGGCCCGCUACAGAGCAGUCUGUAUCUGUAAGGGUUGAAUCCUAGAAUCUGAGGGCCCGCUACAGAGCAGUCUGUAUCUGUAAGGGUUGAAUCCUAGAAUCUGAGGGCCCGCUACAGAGCAGUCUGUAUCUGUAAGGGUUGAAUCCUAGAAUCUGAGGGCCCGCUACAGAGCAGUCUGUAUCUGUAAGGGUUGAAUCCUAGAAUCUGAGGGCCUGCUACAGAGCAGUCUGUAUCUGUAAGGGUUGAAUCCUAGAAUCUGAGGGCCCGCUACAGAGCAGUCUGUAUCUGUAAGGGUUGAAUCCUAGAAUCUGAGGGCCCGCUACAGAGCAGUCUGGAUCUGUAAGGGUUGAAUCCUAGAAUCUGAGGGCCCGCUACAGAGCAGUCUGUAUCUGUAAGGGUUGAAUCCUAGAAUCUGAGGGCCCGCUACAGAGCAGUCUGUAUCUGUAAGGGUUGAAUCCUAGAAUCUGAGGGCCUGCUACAGAGCAGUCUGUAUCUGUAAGGGUUGAAUCCUAGAAUCUGAGGGCCCGCUACAGAGCAGUCUAUAUCUGUAAGGGUUGAAUCCUAGAAUCUGAGGGCCCGCUACAGAGCAGUCUGUAUCUGUAAGGGUUGAAUCCUAGAAUCUGAGGGCCCGCUACAGAGCAGUCUGUAUCUGUAAGGGUUGAAUCCUAGAAUCUGAGGGCCCGCUACAGAGCAGUCUGUAUCUGUAAGGGUUGAAUCCUAGAAUCUGAGGGCCUGCUACAGAGCAGUCUGUAUCUAAGGGUUGAAUCCUAGAAUAUGAGGGCCCGCUACAGAGCAGUCCGGAUCUGUAAGGGUUGAAUCCUAGAAUCUGAGGGCCCGCUACAGAGCAGUCUGGAUCUGUAAGGCUUGAAUCCCGGUCAGUCUCUGUUCUGAUGUCACUGAUGUAAUCACAUUAUCAAUAUUCACUGAAAUAAAAAACUGAAAUCACA
Oncorhynchus gorbuscha (pink salmon) is the source of this 2813-nucleotide long non-coding RNA. RefSeq lists it as uncharacterized. The transcript is spliced from 2 exons. The record is from RefSeq and is a predicted model, not a curated record. Lineage: Eukaryota; Metazoa; Chordata; Actinopteri; Salmoniformes; Salmonidae.